GAUGAACGCUGGCGGCGUGCCUAAUACAUGCAAGUCGAGCGAACAGACGCGGCGCUUGCUCCUCUGACGUUAGCGGCGGACGGGUGAGUAACACGUGGAUCACCUCCCUAUAAGACUGGGAUAACUUCGGGACACCGGCGCUAAUACCGUAUAAUAUCUUGCACCGCAUGGUUCAAUAGUGAAAGUCGGUUUUUCUGUCACUUAUCGCUGCAUCCGCGCCGCAUUAGCUAGUUGUUAAGGUCACGGCGUACCACGGCGACCAUGCGUAUCCGAACGGCGAGAGGGAUAGGCCACAUGAGAACGGAGACACGGUCCAGACUCCUAAGGGAGGCAGCAGAAGGGAAUCGUACGCAAUGGGCGGAAGCAUGACGGAGCAACGGGGCGUGAGUGAUGAAGGUGUUCGGAGCGUAAAAACGUGUUAUGAGGGAAGAACAAAUGUGGAAGGAAACAUGGAGGUAGUGACGGUACCUAAUCAGAAAGCAACGGCUAACUACGUG
This 497-nucleotide ribosomal RNA is filed under the name uncultured bacterium. RNAcentral describes it as "partial 16S ribosomal RNA". It matches the Rfam family "Bacterial small subunit ribosomal RNA", at positions 28 to 507 of the family's 1533-position model. The record is from RNAcentral.